UGGCUCAGUCAGAGGAGCAUGUGACUCUUAAUCUCAAGGUCAUGAGUUCGAAUCCCGU
This 58-nucleotide transfer RNA is filed under the name Felis catus (domestic cat). It matches the Rfam family "tRNA", at positions 8 to 63 of the family's 71-position model. Rfam says of the family: Transfer RNA (tRNA) molecules are approximately 80 nucleotides in length. Lineage: Eukaryota; Metazoa; Chordata; Mammalia; Carnivora; Felidae. The record is from Rfam by way of RNAcentral.